GUAUAUGUGUGCAGGCAUGUAUAUGAAUGUUAUCAUGCAUGUGCCUGUGUCCGUGCAUGUCAGUCUGCAGUUUAUUAGAAAUAACUGUAGUACAGUAGUAUAUCUAAUGCAAAAGAAGAUGCAAAUCUUGAAAUAGCCUAUGUUCACUUCUAGAUUGAACUGGUUGAUAGCCUCUUCAUGGAAAAGUACAAGUUGUGUGGAUAUGAUGGUGUGAGUAACUGGAAAAAGGUGAAAGAGCACAAUCUCCUCAAAUGAAAAUAAGCUUGAGAUUGACAAUGAUAUUUCAUUACAGCAAUGGACAUUGUCAGACAAUGAAAAGCUUCUAUUUGUUAUCAAUGACAACUCUAACCACUGGACACUUAUGGUUGGUGAACCCAAGAAGAAAACUAUGAUGUACUAUGACUCAUUGGGUGGCAAUGGAAAAUCGUACUUUGAAAUUAUACAGUAUGGAGUAACACAUGACUCAAUAUAACCCAUUUACUCAAUGUAGAGAAAAUAUAAUCUCUUCUAAUAUUCCAGUUGUAACUUGACAUUUGUAACAUAGCAGAAAUCUACGUUUCUUAGAUUGUUACACCAUGAUGCAAUAGUUACAUAUUGCUUGUGAACAAUAGGAACUUCCUAAUGAAGCGCUUUGAGAGCUAUGGUUGGAGUCAUCAAGUAGCUGAAGUAAGUUAUUUGAAAGACGAUCGCUAAAGUACAUGACUACAACAGCACUUUUACAAUUUAAAUCCCAUAAGCAGCUAAUAAAGUAGAAGUUAGUAAGUUAUGUGUCAAUUACCAUACUACCAGUUAAAGCUAAUCUACACGAAGAGACAAUUAGUAGUAAGGUCAUGUCAUGUAAGAAAUUUGUUAGCUGAGCCGGUCACGAUAAAAUAAUAGUAUUAUGUCACCACCAUCACACACUUUAUCUAUUAUCUAGAAUAUUCCACAUCAAUUCAAUGGUUACGAUUGUGGCGUAUUUCUUUGUGAAUAUGCUCGCUGUGUAAUGCUGCAAAAACCAAUGGAUUUUUCUCAGGACUCCAUGCCUCAUAUCAGAAAGAGGAUAACAGCAGAAUUAGAGUCAGGUACUUUGCUGUUUGAUAAAGUAACAACCACUGCACACAACACAGUCAGUAUGAAGUCAGAGAUAGAGUCAGAGGUAGAUGAAGAAGGCGAUGAUAAUUCCA
Corticium candelabrum is the source of this 1166-nucleotide RNA transcript. It is a transcript of the gene named sentrin-specific protease 2-like, with no coding region annotated. The record is from RefSeq and is a predicted model, not a curated record. The transcript has 3 exons. Lineage: Eukaryota; Metazoa; Porifera; Homoscleromorpha; Homosclerophorida; Plakinidae.